Molecule: ribosomal RNA, 253 nt
Filed under: uncultured bacterium
Lineage: Bacteria
Description: partial 16S ribosomal RNA
Rfam family: Bacterial small subunit ribosomal RNA
Source: RNAcentral
UACGAAGGGGGCUAGCGUUGUUCGGAAUUACUGGGCGUAAAGCGCACGUAGGCGGAUUUGUAAGUCAGGGGUGAAAUCCCGGGGCUCAACCUCGGAACUGCCUUUGAUACUGCAAAUCUCGAGUCCGAUAGAGGUGGGUGGAAUUCCUAGUGUAGAGGUGAAAUUCGUAGAUAUUAGGAAGAACACCGGUGGCGAAGGCGGCCCACUGGAGCGGUACUGACGCUGAGGUGCGAAAGCGUGGGGAGCAAACAGG